RNAcentral lists this ribosomal RNA (245 nucleotides) under uncultured bacterium. Its description in RNAcentral is "partial 16S ribosomal RNA". It matches the Rfam family "Bacterial small subunit ribosomal RNA", at positions 524 to 768 of the family's 1533-position model. The record is from RNAcentral.
UACGUAGGAGGCGAGCGUUGUCCGGAGUUACUGGGCGUAAAGGGUGCGCAGGCGGCCUGAGAAGUGGCGUGUGAAAUCUCCUGGCUCAACUGGGAGGGUGGGCGCCAAACUCUUAGGCUUGAGGCUCGGAGGGGGGCGUGGAAUUCCGGGUGGAGCGGUGAAAUGCGUAGAGAUCCGGAGGAACACCGACGGCGUAGGCAGCGCCCUGGACGAGACCUGACGCUCAGGCACGAAAGCUGGGGGAG